Molecule: long non-coding RNA, 323 nt
Organism: Gopherus flavomarginatus (Mexican gopher tortoise)
Lineage: Eukaryota; Metazoa; Chordata; Testudines; Testudinidae
Exons: 3
Source: RefSeq, a predicted model, not a curated record
GACGUCGGUGCGUCAAAUAGCGUGCCGUCUGCGUAGGAAGCAAACGGCCCUGUGACUGGUCCAGCACAGAACAUGGCGCAGGCAAGCUUCAUACUGAAUCUGUAUGCACUGGAAAUGAAUGUUUUUCUGCAACAUUGGACCUGUGUGGGAAUGAAUCUCAUUUUACUCUGAUAGCUGGAAUCUAGUAUAUAUUGGAAAGUGAAAGCACUACUGAAUCAGUGGUAGGUAACAGGGUCGUGGAGACAGCUUCUGUCUGGAGACAGCCCCUUCUGCACAGAAGAAGGUAGAUCUGCUUGUGGAGGACUCAUCAGGUGGAUGCACAA